Long non-coding RNA from Oenanthe melanoleuca, 1853 nucleotides. RefSeq lists it as uncharacterized. The record is from RefSeq and is a predicted model, not a curated record. The transcript is spliced from 2 exons. Lineage: Eukaryota; Metazoa; Chordata; Aves; Passeriformes; Muscicapidae.
GACGGACGGACUGGUCCAGCUGGGUGGACGGACACUGCACGGACACCUGGACACACAGACAGUUCACACCUUUCUAGACACACAGACAGUGCCCUCCAGCCACCCAGCCCUUACACAACACCCCAAAAACGCCCCUUUUUACCCCAAAGGCCCCACUCAGAAACCAGCAGGGCCAGACCCUUUCCCUCUGCCCCAGUAAUCCCAGUGUCCGUCUGUCCCAGCCCCAUCCGUGUCCCGGUUCUGUCCAUCAGUCCUGCCUCACUCCCGUCUCCCUGGGGGAAGGUGCCACCCUGACCCCCCCCAGUGGGACUUGGGGGUCACAGUGGGGUGCCCUGGCCAGGCUCCCAACACCCACCUCCAUCCUGGGCACCAGCAGCACCUUUUUGUUCUGGCUCUGUUCUGCCCUCCACCCUCAGCCUGGGGGUGCAGGAUGAGGGUCUCCUCUGGCUUUGGAGGCCACGCCCCAAAUUUUGUCCUAAACCUCCUUUUUCACCACAUCUGCUUGAUUUUUACUCAUUUACACAGCCUUGAUUAGGUUUCCCACUUGCACCUGGCAGGGAUUUGGGUAGAAAAGCAGCAAAAACAUCAAGUCUGGCUCUUGUAUUUCAAAGGAUGAUGAGUAUCAGUAAUCCAGGAAUAAUUUUUGGUGAGGAGUUCGUGCGUGGUGAGAUUAAAAGUUGGGGACAAAUCCUGCAAUUUCAGUUUUCAUACAUAUUUACGACUCAUGAGGGGAAAUCAAGACAAAUUUGGUUCAGUGUUUUCCUGGUUGUUAUUAAAGGAGAGGCAGGUGACCCUUCCCUGGCAGCCCCCACACCUCCCCUUCCCCGCUCCCCUCCCCACGCCGAGGGACGAGGUCGGGGCGCCGACGUGUUUUGUAUUUUUUAAUAAAGUUCGUAAUCCAAUGGACACACAAAACAAAACUGCGCUGAGAAAAAAAAAAUAAACCAAAAAAAAAAACCAAAAAAAAAAAAAAAACCAAGUUCCAUAAAUUAAUUGUUAGGGGAGACGAGGGGGGCCAGGGCAGAGUCUUUGUACAAGUGUAUAACACUUCCACAGCUGAUGAGACAAGGGGAUGUUUAAAUGAAGCGCACUUACAAAUGAGUGACAAUACAAAGUCUGAGUAUGAAAAUAAGAUUUUUUUUCUCUGAAAACACAUUUUUGGCACAGAUUAAAAAAAAAUGUAUGUUGUGGGGAUUUGAUUUUUUUUUAAAGUCAGUAUUAUAUAUAUUUAUAUAUAUUAUAUAUAUAUUUAUAUAUACACACACCCACUGAGUUCUGCAUAUCCCACCAGGAAGGAAAAAAGCUCUCCCUUUUGUUUUGUUGUUUGUUUUGUAUUCUCUUGUUUUUCAGUGUAAACUGUACAUCCCAGAUGAAGAGAAGACGGCUGCAGCAGGGGCAGGUGGAGGAAGAGGAAGGUUCACAUCCAGAAAAAAUAACCCCCCCGAAAAAAUAAACAACCCCAAAAGGAAAAAAAAAAAACAAACAACAAAAAAGCCAACGAAACAACCAAUAAAAUAAAAAAUGACUGUGAAAUGCUCCUUGACCCACAAAUCUCAGCAGAGUCCCUGCAGAACGUCCACGGCGCGGUCAAUGUGUGUCAAGACAUCCAGAACGUCACAGCGUCUCCAACUGUGCAAAGUCCGAGUCACUAAUUUAGUGCAAAGGCAGUUCAGGAGGCACGGGAACCCAAGCCCAGUCCACCUGCUGAGUGCAUCAGUUGUCCAUAAGCUAAAGCAACAUGUAAACAUCCAAGGUUUGAUCGAGGCCGUCGGGCAGGAAGCUGGUUUCUGGCAGCAUUUUCUUGUUUCACGACCUUCUCUCCUUCUUUUGAAUUAGUUUUAUUUUAAAAUUAA